RNAcentral lists this ribosomal RNA (301 nucleotides) under uncultured bacterium. RNAcentral describes it as "partial 16S ribosomal RNA". It matches the Rfam family "Bacterial small subunit ribosomal RNA", at positions 509 to 809 of the family's 1533-position model. The record is from RNAcentral.
CAGCCGCCGCGGGAAAACAGAGGGUGCGAGCGUUAAUCGGAUUUACUGGGCGUAAAGCGUGCGUAGGCGGCUUCUUAAGUCGGAUGUGAAAUCCCUGAGCUUAACUUAGGAAUUGCAUUCGAUACUGGGAAGCUAGAGUAUGGGAGAGGAUGGUAGAAUUCCAGGUGUAGCGGUGAAAUGCGUAGAGAUCUGGAGGAAUACCGAUGGCGAAGGCAGCCAUCUGGCCUAAUACUGACGCUGAGGUACGAAAGCAUGGGGAGCAAACAGGAUUAGAUACCCCAGUAGUCCUGUCUCUUAUACA